UACGGAGGAUCCAAGCGUUGUCCGGAUUUAUUGGGUUUAAAGGGUGCGUAGGCGGAUUGAUAAGUUAGAGGUGAAAUGUCCGAGCUCAACUCGGGAACUGCCUCUAAUACUGUUGAUCUAGAGAGUAGAUGCGGUAGGCGGAAUGUAUGGUGUAGCGGUGAAAUGCUUAGAGAUCAUACAGAACACCGAUUGCGAAGGCAGCUUACCAAUCUAUAUCUGACGUUGAGGCACGAAAGCGUGGGGAGCAAACAGG
This 253-nucleotide ribosomal RNA is filed under the name uncultured bacterium. RNAcentral's name for it is "partial 16S ribosomal RNA". It matches the Rfam family "Bacterial small subunit ribosomal RNA", at positions 524 to 776 of the family's 1533-position model. The record is from RNAcentral.